UACGUAGGGGGCAAGCGUUAUCCGGAUUUACUGGGUGUAAAGGGAGCGUAGACGGCGGUGCAAGCCAGAUGUGAAAGCCCGGGGCUCAACCCCGGACCUGCAUUUGAAACUGUUGGUCUUGAGUAUCGGAGAGGCAGGCGGAAUUCCUGGUGUAGCGGUGAAGUGCGUAGAUAUCAGGAGGAACACCAGUGGCGAAGGCGGCUUACUGGACUGUAACUGACGUUGAGGCUCGAAAGCGUGGGGAGCAAACAGG
RNAcentral lists this ribosomal RNA (253 nucleotides) under uncultured Lachnospiraceae bacterium. Its description in RNAcentral is "partial 16S ribosomal RNA". It matches the Rfam family "Bacterial small subunit ribosomal RNA", at positions 524 to 776 of the family's 1533-position model. The record is from RNAcentral. Lineage: Bacteria; Bacillati; Bacillota; Clostridia; Lachnospirales; Lachnospiraceae.